Lonchura striata (white-rumped munia) is the source of this 2714-nucleotide non-coding RNA. NCBI's taxonomy places the organism in Eukaryota, Metazoa, Chordata, Aves, Passeriformes, Estrildidae. The record is from RefSeq and is a predicted model, not a curated record.
GGCCGCUUGAGGGAGCGGAGCGGCGGGCGCUGAGCCGGGAGCCCUCUCGGCUUUGCGGGCCUUCUCCCGAGGGGCUCCUCUGGGGGAGGCGAGAGGGCCGCUCUGAGGCGGGAGCGGAGGGAUCCGAGCAGGCGGAGUUGUAAGGCGGCGGGCGCGUGCGGGACGCGCGGCGGCUGCGCGGGCUGAGGGGACCCGGCUGAGGGGACGCGGCCGCCCCCGGGACCCCGGCCCUGCGCCAGAGCCGCCGCCGGCAGGGGAUCUUCCCUGGCCCAGCUCAGGCUUGCUGUGUAUGGCUGGCCAGGACUGCCCCCAGAACUGAGGAGAGGAGCUGAUCGCCCCGUGCUUCUGGAUUGCUGGAUGCCAGCACUGACUAGGUAUGGAGAACUUGGUAGCUGGCUCCAAUCUUCCUCCACUUUUUACAGAUGAGGAUGGAUCUAAGGAAGGUACUGAAAUUAAUGUAACUGGAUUAGCUAAUUCGGAGAGUUCAUUCAGUGGUGGAACUUCACAGCCUGUGAAUAACCCAGAUUUGGUGGAAGACUUGUCACAGGCUCAGCAGCAGCAAAAUGAGACUUCUAAUGCUGCUGAAACCACUGAGCAGAAGCCUGAGGAGGAGCAGCAAAGAACCAAACGAGGAGGCUGGGCCAAAGGGAGAAAAAGGAAGAAACCCCUCCGGGACAGCAAUGCCCCCAAAUCCCCCCUCACCGGGUACGUGCGGUUCAUGAACGAGCGCAGGGAGCAGCUGCGGGCGAAGCGGCCGGAGGUGCCUUUCCCAGAGAUCACCAGGAUGCUGGGCAAUGAGUGGAGCAAGCUGCCCCCUGAGGAGAAACGGCGAUACCUUGAUGAAGCAGACAGAGAUAAGGAGCGUUACAUGCGGGAGCUGGAGCAGUAUCAGAAGACUGAAGCCUACAAAGUCUUUAGCAGGAAAGCACAGGACAGACAAAAAGGCAAAUCACACAGACAAGAUGGAGCAAGACAGCCAGCUCAUGAUCAUGAGAAAGAAGCAGACACAAAGGAGAGGUCUGUCUUUGAUAUCCCAAUCUUCACAGAAGAGUUCCUGAAUCAUAGUAAAGCCCGUGAGGCGGAGCUGCGGCAGCUGCGCAAAUCCAACAUGGAGUUUGAGGAGAGGAACGCGGCCCUGCAGAAGCACGUGGAGAGCAUGCGCACGGCCGUGGAGAAGCUGGAGGUGGACGUGAUCCAGGAGCGGAGCCGCAACACCGUGCUGCAGCAGCACCUGGAGACCCUGCGGCAGGCGCUCACCAGCAGCUUCGCUGGGGUCCCGCUGCCGGGCAGCGGGGAAACCCCCACAAUGGAAACGAUUGAUUCCUACAUGAACAGACUGCACAGCAUUAUCCUGGCCAACCCACAGGAGAACGAGAACCUCAUUGCCACGGUGCGGGACGUGGUGAACAGGCUGGAGCGUUAGUGACGGGGUCUCGUGACCCGGGGAAGCUUUACAAAAUUUUUUUGGCCAGUGUGGAAUAAGAAGCCAUGGGGGAAAGCCUAGGGUGGGAGGCAGGAUGGCAGAGGAGGAAAAAAAUCCUUCCAAGGGCUCACUGUCUUUGUAUCAGAUGAAUAUAUAUGCAACAAUUUCCCAGCCUGAUGGAGACAGAAGUUGAAAUAUGCUUGGAGCAGUUAUAGCCAACCAUAUGUAAGUGCUGGCAUUACCUGGAGCUUGUUUCUCCCACAAGGUGAUAUUUCUACCAUGGUAAUCUUGCUGUUUCCUGCUGUAGGCAGUAUUAGGGAGAAUGUGUCAGAAAAUUUGUCAAAAUGGCUUUUUCUCAGAAGAUUCCAUAUUAGUUAUCCCCACGGGGGUGGGGAGGGGGGUAGGGAACUAUAGGUUUAGUUGAAAAUUCAUAGUUCUGUGGUUUGGCCAGCAUAAGUUUCAGGGGCAAGUCUAUAUGCCCAGCUGCAGAAUCUCCUGUAUUUACAAAUUCUACUUACAGGUUCUGUAGGGAGAUGGUUUCUUUGUUCUUGCCUGCUUCUUCCAUGUGCUUGGUUGCUUAAACAGAUGGAGGUGAGGAGAUUUUCUCUGCUUCCAGGAAUAAAACCUCAAACUCCAUACUUGCAAACAUGAUUAAAAUUAACCAGUUAAAUUUCACGUGUGUGGUAGGUUCUCAGUGGCCAAAGCUCAGUGGAACUGUGAAAGGGUGUAGUUAAGCUGCCUUGAUAUGACAUGGACUGCUCACUGUACUGGCUGGAUCUAAUCUGGUGGAGGGGGAAUUACCUUAUCUCCAAACCUCAUCUCCCUUCCAAAUCCACCCUAACGUCAGACUGAGAAAUCAGUGCUCAGGAGAACAAAGACACAAAUUCUUUUCCACUCCAAGUGCCAGGAGCAGGAAUUUUUUAUUUAAUCUUCCGUCUGUAUUAGUGAAUCUGCUUAAUAAGGCUUCCCAAGGUAAGUCACUGCCUGACCCCCAGCCACCCCCAGGAGGAAAGAGUGAUGGAAGGAAUGAAUUGCUGCUCAUACACAGUAGCCUCAAGACCUGAUGAAAAGACAUGGUGGGUACGUGUGCAGGAGGCUCAGUACAUGAGAAUCUCUGAUUGUCUUCCCUCUAUCACUGUCUGUGUGCUUCAGAACCACUUUUCAUAAUUUCCUUCCCUUACUAUCCUAAAGACCAAACAGCCUCUUACUCCCCAUUUGGAGCAUUUAGGCUCUCUAUUAAUGGAGAACCAUUCCCUGUCACUCCCUACUGAGCCUGAAAAUCCUACCUGUC